This 615-nucleotide ribosomal RNA is filed under the name uncultured marine eukaryote. RNAcentral describes it as "bacterial SSU rRNA". It matches the Rfam family "Eukaryotic small subunit ribosomal RNA", at positions 618 to 1240 of the family's 1831-position model. The record is from RNAcentral.
GUUAAAAAGCUCGUAGUUGAUUUCUGUUAGUGGACUAUGGUCUGCUCUUUGAGUAUGUACUAGAUUGGCUCUAUACAUUAUAUGUUGCCUUUGCAGUUGCUUAAUUGCACUCUAAAUGCGCUCAUAUCUAUUACUUUGAGGAGAGCACAGUGUUUAUAGCAGAUAUUUGUUGUGAAUGUGCUAGCAUGGCAUGACUCGGCAAGGCGAACUUUCGAAUUUGUUUGACCCUACAUAAGUGAGCAAUGAAUAGAAGGGGUAGAGGGGGGUAUUCGUAUUAUCGCGCUAGAGGUGGAAUUCUUAGAUUGCGUUACGACGGGCAACUGCGAAAGCAUUUAUCAGUAAUGCUUCCACCAAUCAAGAACGAAAGUAAGGGGAUCGAAGAUGAUUAGAUACCGUCGUAGUCCAUACCGUAAACUAUGCCAUCUGGGGAUUGAAGGGACUACUUACGACGCCUUACAGAAUCUUAUGAGAAAUUAGAGUCUUUCGGUUCCGGGGGGAGUAUGGUCCGCAAGACUGAAACUUAAAGGAAUUGACGGAAGGGCACCACCAGGAGUGGAGCUUGCGGCUUAAUUGACUCACGCGGAAAAACUCACCAGGUCCAGACAUAGUGAGGAU